Molecule: long non-coding RNA, 871 nt
Organism: Mustela erminea (ermine)
Lineage: Eukaryota; Metazoa; Chordata; Mammalia; Carnivora; Mustelidae
Exons: 2
Source: RefSeq, a predicted model, not a curated record
CAUGUUAUGCUUUAGAAAUUGAGAGUUUAGUAGGUUUUUAACUGCUGUCCUCAUUAGGCAAUGAUAAAUAUUUCCCUCAAAUAACUGAAUAUUUUUCUGUGUUUUAAAAAUAAUUGAAAUUUAUCUGCCAUGUCUUGUGUUCUAAUUCCUUACACAAGUGGCUAAGCUAGAAUGUAUUCAUAAAACAGAGGAAUGUGAGUUAUAUAUAUUAGAACAUGACAAGACCCUGUAUUUCACUUUAAUGAAUCUCAAAAUUAAUAGGUUUGUAGGAUAGAUUUUAUUAGUAGCUUAAAUGAUCUUAGUCAUAUGCAAUAAGUAUUUUUACUACCAGUAAGUCUAAAGUUUUUAAAGAAAAAAAUGCUUUUAUCCUAGUGUCUGCCACCGAACAGUCACUAAGUUGACAACUUUCACACUUGUUUUCUCACCUAAUAGUGCCUUCCCUGAAAGUAUGUGUUGGAUAGAAAUUCACUCUCUUAGAAAAAUGUAACUGUUUGCUUUUGCAUACUCUGUUCCUUUUAUGGCUUCUAUCUCAAGGUGUAAUCUUGUAUGGGAGACUGAAGGUUAUUGUUGUUACUGGAAGCAUGAUGUUUUAAGUUCCCUUUUAUGAAAUGUACUGUUAAGCAGUAGUAUUGUCCUUCAAAAAAUGAAAAUGCAUAUCUCUACAAAGGUGUGAUAGAAGAAUGAUUUGGAAGCUUACUCUUUGAGGAAAAUGUUUGGGAAAAUAUUGGGAUUCUUUUUACCCUGAAGCAGCAUGUGAAUGUAUUUGGUUAAAUUUAUCAGACAAUAGCUCUAUGAAAACUUUUGAUUUUCAAACAUUUUAAAUACUACUGUGUUUAUGAUUUAUUGAGAAUUAAAAUCCAUUUUGAGUGUA